This 1365-nucleotide ribosomal RNA is filed under the name uncultured bacterium. RNAcentral's name for it is "bacterial SSU rRNA". It matches the Rfam family "Bacterial small subunit ribosomal RNA", at positions 28 to 1381 of the family's 1533-position model. The record is from RNAcentral.
GAUUAACGCUGGCGGCGUGCCUAACACAUGCAAGUCGAGCGGCAGCGAGUUUUACACUGAAUUCUGGAAGCUUCUAGUUGAAAGAGAAGAUUUAUUCAAGAAUUUUGUGUAAAAUGUCGGCGAGCGGCGGACGGCUGAGUAACGCGUGGGAACGUACCCCAAAGUGAGGGAUAACGCAUCGAAAGGUGUGCUAAUACCGCAUAUGGUCUUCGGAUUAAAGCCUUCGGGCGCUUUGGGAACGGCCUGCGUAAGAUUAGAUAGUUGGUGGGGUAAUGGCCUACCAAGUCGACGAUCUUUAACUGGUUUGAGAGGAUGAUCAGUCAGACUGGAACUGAGACACGGUCCAGACUCCUACGGGAGGCAGCAGUGAGGAAUCUUCCACAAUGGGCGAAAGCCUGAUGGAGCAACGCCGCGUGCAGGAUGAAGGCCUUCGGGUUGUAAACUGCUUUUAUAAGUGAGGAUUAUGACAGUAACUUAUGAAUAAGGAUCGGCUAACUACGUGCCAGCAGCCGCGGUCAUACGUAGGAUCCGAGCGUUAUCCGGAGUGACUGGGCGUAAAGAGUUGCGUAGGUGGUUCAAUAAGCGAAUAGUGAAAGCUGGUGGCUCAACCAUUCAGACUAUUAUUCGAACUGUUGAACUCGAGAGCAGAAGAGGUAGCUGGAAUUUCUAGUGUAGGAGUGGAAUCCGUAGAUAUUAGAAGGAACACCGAUGGCGUAGGCAGGCUACUGGGCUGUUUCUGACACUGAGGCACGAAAGCGUGGGGAGCGAACCGGAUUAGAUACCCGGGUAGUCCACGCCGUAAACGAUGGAUACUAGCUGUUUGGGGUAUCGACCCCCUGAGUAGCGAAGCUAACGCGUUAAGUAUCCCGCCUGUGGAGUACGAUCGCAAGAUUAAAACAUAAAGGAAUUGACGGGGACCCGCACAAGCGGUGGAUCAUGUUCUUUAAUUCGAUGAUAACCGAUAAACCUUACCAGGUCUUGACAUCCUUGGAAUCUUUCAGAAAUGAGAGAGUGCUUUUUAAGAGCCAAGUGACAGGUGAUGCAUGGCCGUCGUCAGCUCGUGUCGUGAGAUGUUUGGUUAAGUCCAUCAACGAGCGCAACCCUUGUCAGUAGUUGUAUUUUUCUACUGAGACUGCCCCGGUAACGGGGAGGAAGGAGGGGAUGACGUCAGGUCAGUAUUUCCCUUACGUCCUGGGCUAGAAACGUGAUACAAUGGCUAGUACAAUGCGCAGCGAAGCCGCGAGGUGAAGCAAAUCGCAUCAAAGCUAGUCCCAGUUCGGAUUGUAGGCUGAAACUCGCCUGCAUGAAGUCGGAAUCGCUAGUAAUCGCAGAUCAGCAUGCUGCGGUGAAUACGUUCCCGGGUCU